RNAcentral lists this non-coding RNA (28 nucleotides) under Cricetulus griseus (Chinese hamster). The record is from RNAcentral. Lineage: Eukaryota; Metazoa; Chordata; Mammalia; Rodentia; Cricetidae.
AUACCAGGAGGACUUGAAACACGUAGCU